RNAcentral lists this unclassified non-coding RNA (343 nucleotides) under soil metagenome. RNAcentral's name for it is "partial contains 5.8S ribosomal RNA, internal transcribed spacer 2, and large subunit ribosomal RNA". The stretch from base 1 to 120 matches the Rfam family "5.8S ribosomal RNA", at positions 35 to 154 of the family's 154-position model. The record is from RNAcentral.
GAUGAAGAACGCAGCGAAAUGCGAUAAGUAAUGUGAAUUGCAGAAUUCAGUGAAUCAUCGAAUCUUUGAACGCACAUUGCGCCCUAUGGUAUUCCGUAGGGCAUGCCUGUUCGAGCGUCAUUACAACCCUCAAGCUCUGCUUGGUAUUGGGCGUCGUCCCCUAAACGGACGUGCCUCAAAGACCUCGGCGGUGGCGUCUUUGCCUCAAGCGUAGUAAUAUUUUUAUCUCGCUUUGGAGUCGUAGGCGUCGCCCGCCGGACGAAACCUUUAUUUUUUCUAUCAAGGUUGACCUCGGAUCAGGUAGGGAUACCCGCUGAACUUAAGCAUAUCAAUAAGCGGAGGA